GGGCGGGUGUCAUCCUCCUCCCUCCUCAAUCGAGUUCACCCACACCAGGGCUUGGGGAACUGGGCUUCCUGCACUCCAUACGCCCUGCAUGCCUGGGGCUCUCCCACAUGGGGCUUUCGUGAGCCAGGGAGCAAGGGCCUUCCCCCCGCUCCAGCCCAGCCAGGCUGCGCAGGCAGAAGGAAUCUCUCAACCUGCCCCUGCACGCAGGGAUUUUGUGUUCGCUGCCCUGGCUCCUCUGGAAGUAGGACUGUCCCACCCUCAGACUCCUCGGUGGCCUCCGCACCCUAACAAAUGCCAGGAGGAAGAGGACCCGCAGCACGGCGGCCUGCUGGGCGCGUGCUCAGUGGGACAGCUUGGGCCCCCUCAAGCUGAGUCACAGGGGCAAGGUGUGUUUGCACCACCCACGUCCCACCGGAGUCCACGGUGGGGCUGGAGCCCCGGGUCCCCAGGGCGGCGUGGGAAACCGAAGACCGGGCACCUCCACCUCUGAAGCUCGCGACCCCGGAGGCCUCCGCGUCAAGCACAUAUGCAAGCCAUCCAGGCACCUCCCAACCGCUCCAGGAGUCGGGGCGCUUGUCUACACACACCCCCAGACUGUUAGAUGAGCUCCUGCCAACCCCAGAGUUUCAGAAAAAGGCACAAUCUUUCCUAGAUCCGGCGCCACUGGGGAAGCUGAAGGAGGUGGAAGAGCCCGCUCCGUUGGAACCACUCCUCAGCCAGGAAGAACACCGGGCUCUGCUGGAGGAGCUUU
Molecule: long non-coding RNA, 751 nt
Filed under: Homo sapiens (human)
Lineage: Eukaryota; Metazoa; Chordata; Mammalia; Primates; Hominidae
Description: non-protein coding lnc-TP53TG3-48:1
Source: RNAcentral